This 254-nucleotide ribosomal RNA is filed under the name uncultured bacterium. RNAcentral's name for it is "partial 16S ribosomal RNA". It matches the Rfam family "Bacterial small subunit ribosomal RNA", at positions 524 to 776 of the family's 1533-position model. The record is from RNAcentral.
UACGGAGGGUGCAAGCGUUAUCCGGAUUCACUGGGUUUAAAGGGUGCGUAGGUGGGCUUGUAAGUCAGCGGUGAAAUCUCCGGGCUUAACCCGGAAACUGCCAUUGAUACUAUAAGUCUUGAAUUAUCUGGAGGUGAGCGGAAUAUGUCAUGUAGCGGUGAAAUGCUUAGAUAUGACAUAGAACACCAAUUGCGAAGGCAGCUCACUACGGAUCGAUUGACACUGAGGCACGAAAAGCGUGGGGAUCAAACAGG